This is a long non-coding RNA of Homo sapiens (human), 1764 nucleotides long. Ensembl annotates it as long intergenic non-protein coding RNA 2552. NCBI's taxonomy places the organism in Eukaryota, Metazoa, Chordata, Mammalia, Primates, Hominidae. The record is from Ensembl.
AUCUCUAGGAUGCCAAUGGGCUGUGUCUACAGUACUAUGUAGGAAAGUGCUGCAAGAGUUUCAGGAAAUUAUGGAUAAAGCUGCCAUACAAAUCCAUGUGCAGGUUUUUCAAUGGAUGUAUGUUUUCAUUUUCUUCUGUGACUCUGGAAGGUUGUGCUGAGAACUCUGAAGGCUUGCUGUGACUUUUUGGGUCCGCGUCACCUUUAGGAGCUGUAACACUCACCGCGAAGGUCUGCAGCUUCACUCCUGAAGCCAGCGAGACCACGAACGCACCGGGAGGGAUGAACAACUCCGGACGGGAGGAACGAACAACUCCAGACGCGCCAUCUUAAGAGCUGUAACGCUCACUGCGAAGGUCUGCAGCUUCACUCCUGAAGCCAGCAAGACCACGAACCCACCAGAAGGAAGAAACUCUGAACACAUCUGAACAUCAGAAGGAACAAACUCCAGACACGCCACCUUUAAGAACUGUAACACUCACCGCGAGGGUCCGCAGCUUCGUUCUUGAAAUCAGUGAGAUGAAGAACCCACCAAUUCCAGACACAGUAACACCAGUUAUCACUGAUUGCAGUUCAUCAUAACAGAUAUAAUAAUAAUUUAAAAGUUUGAAAUAUUAUGAAAAUUACCAAAAUGUAACACAGACACAUGAAGCAUUGGAAAAAUGGCACCAAUAGUGUUGUUUGAUGUAGCAUUACCAUAAAUCUUAGAUUUGUAAAUAACAAAGUAUUUGUGAAGCACAGUAAAGCAAAGCACAAUAAAAAUGACGUGUGCUUGUAUUUUAAAAGAACAGAUUGAAUUGGGAAGGGUAGUUGAGGAACUGGAAGCAGAGAGAACAGGUACAAGAUUCACGUAGUAGUCCAAGAAAAUUAAAGCAAGUAGAAAAACUAACAGAAGUUCAGGAUAAAAGAUUUUGAGGCCUUAACUACACAUUUCCAGAAGGAAUGGAAAAAGGUCAGAAAUGAGAAUGUGGAAAUAUCCUCAGCUGAUUUGACUGUAAGUAGAAAGUGUUGGCAUAAAAAAAAUGGACGAAGCCAAAAAACUCAUGGAAUGAUGAAUAAUUAAAUAAAUUGAGGUCUCCUUAUCAAAAACAAAAAUGAAGACAUGUAGAUAGAAAUUUAUAUGUCUUUACUCUGUAAAGCUGGGAGAAUACCCAGAAGGUAUUUAGGAAGUAUGUGAUAAAAAUUUAAGAUUGGAGUUAAUGAACCAGAGAUAGGCAUGAGACACAUAAUAGGUAAUAAUACAGGUUAGCUGGUAAGAUCUUUGGAGCACAGCAAGCUUGGAUUUGAGUUAGUAAUAAUAAUUAUGCACUGCACAUUUUAGCCUUUAUAAUUUUUCACUGGUUCUUCCACUUAAUAGGCAUCUUUUAACAUCUAUUAAGUGUAGGAAAAUACUAAGAGCUGGAGAUACAGCAGUAAUAAAUAAAGUUUAUUUAAGUAAGUGUAAAGUUAAUAAAACACAGUCCCUAAUCUCAUUACUCUUACACUGAGAGAUUUUCACAUUCAAAAUUUACUGAGCACCUAUUGGGUACAGAGGACUUGGAUGGGCAAAUGAAUACAAUAUGUCUCUUGCUGUGUUGUUGGAACAAGUGGAAUGCUGGGGACAUCCAAAGAAAGGAGACCACAUGGAGGAGGUGAUAUUGGAUCUUGAGGGAUGAUUAAGAGUCAUCAAACAAACGACAUUUAUAUAUAUAUUAUAAUAUCAUCUCCUGUAAUCUCGCUCACACCCUGUGAGGACCAAGUAAAUAUAUUAAAGAUGUAUUUCUUA